UACGUAGGGUGCAAGCGUUAAUCGGAAUUACUGGGCGUAAAGCGUGCGCAGGCGGUUAUGCAGGACAGAUGUGAAAUCCCCGGGCUCAACCUGGGAACUGCAUUUGUGACUGCAUAGCUAGAGUACGGUAGAGGGGGAUGGAAUUCCGCGUGUAGCAGUGAAAUGCGUAGAUAUGCGGAGGAACACCGAUGGCGAAGGCAAUCCCCUGGACCUGUACUGACGCUCAUGCACGAAAGCGUGGGGAGCAAACAGG
RNAcentral lists this ribosomal RNA (253 nucleotides) under uncultured bacterium. RNAcentral's name for it is "partial 16S ribosomal RNA". It matches the Rfam family "Bacterial small subunit ribosomal RNA", at positions 524 to 776 of the family's 1533-position model. The record is from RNAcentral.